Molecule: small nuclear RNA, 141 nt
Organism: Cebus imitator (Panamanian white-faced capuchin)
Lineage: Eukaryota; Metazoa; Chordata; Mammalia; Primates; Cebidae
Gene: U4
Rfam family: U4 spliceosomal RNA
About the family: U4 small nuclear RNA (U4 snRNA) is a component of the major U2-dependent spliceosome. The structure of U4 snRNA from yeast and human has been reported.
Source: Ensembl
AGCUUUGCGCAGUGGCAGCGUCGUAGCCAACGCGUUUUAUCUGAGAUGAGACUAUUGCUCAUUGAAAACUUUCCCCAAUACCCCGCCGUCAUGACAUGCAAUAGAGUCGGCAUUGACAAUUUUUGACAGUCUCUAGGGAGA